GACGAACGCUGGCGGCGUGCCUAACACAUGCAAGUCGCACGGGACCAGCAAUGGUUCAGUGGCGGACGGGUGCGUAACACGUGAGGAACAUGCCUAUCGGCGGGGGAUAGCCGGCCCAACGGCCGGGUAAUACCGCGUACGACCUUCGGUGGUCGAUCACCUCGAUGGUGAAAGACAGCAAUGCGCCGAUAGAGUGCCUCGCGGCC
RNAcentral lists this ribosomal RNA (206 nucleotides) under uncultured bacterium. RNAcentral describes it as "partial 16S ribosomal RNA". It matches the Rfam family "Bacterial small subunit ribosomal RNA", at positions 28 to 238 of the family's 1533-position model. The record is from RNAcentral.